RNAcentral lists this ribosomal RNA (301 nucleotides) under uncultured bacterium. RNAcentral's name for it is "partial 16S ribosomal RNA". It matches the Rfam family "Bacterial small subunit ribosomal RNA", at positions 509 to 807 of the family's 1533-position model. The record is from RNAcentral.
CAGCAGCCGCGGUAAUACAGAGGGUGCAAGCGUUAAUCGGAAUUACUGGGCGUAAAGCGCGCGUAGGUGGUUUGUUAAGUUGGAUGUGAAAUCCCCGGGCUCAACCUGGGAACUGCAUCCAAAACUGGCAGGCUAGAGUAGGGCAGAGGGUGGUGGAAUUUCCUGUGUAGCGGUGAAAUGCGUAGAUAUAGGAAGGAACACCAGUGGCGAAGGCGACCACCUGGUCUCAUACUGACACUGAGGUGCGAAAGCGUGGGGAGCAAACAGGAUUAGAUACCCCCGUAGUCCCUGUCUCUUAUAC